This 85-nucleotide transfer RNA is filed under the name Felis catus (domestic cat). It matches the Rfam family "tRNA". Rfam says of the family: Transfer RNA (tRNA) molecules are approximately 80 nucleotides in length. RNAcentral also lists the same sequence under 2 other names. Lineage: Eukaryota; Metazoa; Chordata; Mammalia; Carnivora; Felidae. The record is from Rfam by way of RNAcentral.
GCCUGAGUGGCUCAGUUGGUGAAGCGUCUGACUUCAGCUCAGGUCAUGAUCUCAUGGUUCGUGGGUUUGAGCCCCAUGUUGGGCU